Molecule: unclassified non-coding RNA, 315 nt
Filed under: Chytridiomycota sp.
Lineage: Eukaryota; Fungi; Chytridiomycota
Description: partial contains small subunit ribosomal RNA, internal transcribed spacer 1, and 5.8S ribosomal RNA
Rfam family: Eukaryotic small subunit ribosomal RNA (bases 1-47)
Source: RNAcentral
AAAGUCGUAACAAGGUAACCGUAGGUGAACCUGCGGUUGGAUCAUUAACAAAUAAGUCUAGGCCCUGGUUGCCCCAAAAGGGCGAAAGGGAGGAAACCUAAACAUUUGUGUGCACCAUAUCUGUUUUUGGCAGUUCGAGUGUCCCGAGAUUGCGUAACUGCCUCGGGUACCUACCGAGACAGGCUUUUGGGCUUGUUGGAGGUUGGGCUGCCGCCCACUUUGAACUAACCUUUGUUUUUUUUUAUUGUCUGAAAUUGUUUGAUCGUCAAUGAUUAAAUUUAAAUACAACUUUUGACAACGGAUCUCUUGGCUCUC